GACGAACGCUGGCGGCGUGCUUAACACAUGCAAGUCGAACGGUGAAGCUCCAGCUUGCUGGAGUGGAUCAGUGGCGAACGGGUGAGUAACACGUGAGCAACCUGCCCCUGACUCUGGAAUAAGCGCUGGAAACGGCGUCUAAUACUGGAUACGAGAAGGGUCCGCAUGGGCACUUUCUGGAAAGUUUUUCGGUUGGGGAUGGGCUCGCGGCCUAUCAGCUUGUUGGUGAGGUAAUGGCUCACCAAGGCGACGACGGGUAGCCGGCCUGAGAGGGCGACCGGCCCAAAUGGGAACGGGGACACGCCCCAGACCCUAAGGGGGGGAGGAGGUGGGAAAUUUGCACAAUGGGCGAAAGCCUGAUGCAGCGACGCCGCGUGAGGGAUGACGGCCUUCGGGUUGUAAACCUCUUUCAGCAGGGAAGAAGCGAAAGUGACGGUACCUGCAGAAGAAGCACCGGCUAACUACGU
RNAcentral lists this ribosomal RNA (467 nucleotides) under uncultured bacterium. Its description in RNAcentral is "partial 16S ribosomal RNA". It matches the Rfam family "Bacterial small subunit ribosomal RNA", at positions 28 to 506 of the family's 1533-position model. The record is from RNAcentral.